CCUACGGGAGGCAGCAGUUAGGAAUUUUGCGCAAUGGGGGAAACCCUGACGCAGCAACGCCGCGUGAGUGAUGAAGGCCUUCGGGUUGUAAAGCUCUUUUGCCAGGGAAGAAUAAAAUGACGGUACCUGGUGAAUAAGCACCGGCUAACUCUGUGCCAGCAGCCGCGGUAAUACAGAGGGUGCAAGCGUUAUUCGGAAUUAUUGGGCGUAAAGCGCACGUAGGCGGUCUUUCAAGUCUGGUGUGAAAUCCCUGAACUCAAUUCAGGAAGUGCAUUGGAUACUGUUAGACUGGAGAAUGGGAGAGGUGAGCGGAAUUCCUGGUGUAGAGGUGAAAUUCGUAGAUAUCAGGAGGAACAACAGAGGCGAAGGCGGCUCACUGGACCAUUUCUGACGCUGAGGUGCGAAAGCGUGGGGAGCAAACAGGAUUAGAUACCCCGGUA
This 440-nucleotide ribosomal RNA is filed under the name uncultured bacterium. RNAcentral's name for it is "bacterial SSU rRNA". It matches the Rfam family "Bacterial small subunit ribosomal RNA", at positions 338 to 792 of the family's 1533-position model. The record is from RNAcentral.